Molecule: non-coding RNA, 71 nt
Organism: Nothobranchius furzeri (turquoise killifish)
Lineage: Eukaryota; Metazoa; Chordata; Actinopteri; Cyprinodontiformes; Nothobranchiidae
Source: the annotation of a RefSeq genome assembly
GGGGAUGUGUCUCAGUGGUAGAGUGCAUGCUUUGCAUGUAUGACGCCCAGGUUCAAUCCCUGGUGUCUCCA